Sinocyclocheilus anshuiensis is the source of this 271-nucleotide long non-coding RNA. RefSeq lists it as uncharacterized. Lineage: Eukaryota; Metazoa; Chordata; Actinopteri; Cypriniformes; Cyprinidae. The record is from RefSeq and is a predicted model, not a curated record. The transcript has 3 exons.
UGUGCAGUGUUGGGGUGCCUCCAGGACCAGGGUUGGGAACCACUGAUAUAGAUCAUCCUCAUCCAAAAACAUGCAGGAACAGCGGCACCUGUGAAGUUACUAGAAAAGGUCCAUCCUGCUUGAAUCAGGACAUUAAGCAAGAACUAGUCAAAGAAUGUUUAGAGGAUGACUUUGAGUGGCCACCAAAAAAGAAAACAUCAUACACAGAUGAGAGUGGACAGACCUCAGAUCCGGACAUCUUUUGAUAUUUAAGUGUGAUAUUCUAAGUGCA